AGUCUAUUCAGAGGAAUUUGUUUUAUAAUCGAUAAUCCGCGAUGGACCUUACUUAAGUUUGUUAUAAUUCAGUUUAUAUACCGUCGUUAUUAGAAUAUUUUAAAAAAAUGUUAAUUUUCAUAAUUUUUAAAAAAAAAAUAUAUCAGAUCAAGGUGUAGCUAAUAUUUAAGUAAAAAUGAGUUACAAUAAAUUUAUUUAUAUGGAUAUAAAUUUGAAAUAUUUAUUGAAAGUGGAUUUGAUAGUAAAAUUAUAUAGAUUAUUAAUUUGAUUUUUAGCUCUAAAAUAUGUACAUAUCGCCCGUCACUCUUAUUAUUAAGGUAAGAUAAGUCGUAACAUAGUAGGUGUACUGGAAAGUGUCUCUAGAAUGCAAUUUAAAGCUUAUUUAGUAAAGUAUUUCAUUUACAUUGAAAAGGAUUUUGUGCAAAUCAAUAUAUAUUGAUUUUAAAUUAAAUUUUAUUUAUUAAUUAAUUAAUUUUUUAAAAUUUAUUAUAUUAAAAAUAAUUAUAAAAUUUAUUGUUUUAGUAUUUUAUAAAAAAAAAAUAAUUUUAAUUAUAGUUUAUUAGUAUUGUGGAAGAAUAUUGAAAUAAUUUGAAAAAUUAUUAUAUUAAAAGUAAAUUUA
This 619-nucleotide ribosomal RNA is filed under the name Phaonia subventa. RNAcentral describes it as "partial 12S ribosomal RNA". The stretch from base 368 to 439 matches the Rfam family "tRNA". The record is from RNAcentral. Lineage: Eukaryota; Metazoa; Arthropoda; Insecta; Diptera; Muscidae.